Molecule: long non-coding RNA, 1594 nt
Organism: Vicia villosa (hairy vetch)
Lineage: Eukaryota; Viridiplantae; Streptophyta; Magnoliopsida; Fabales; Fabaceae
Exons: 3
Source: RefSeq, a predicted model, not a curated record
ACUUUUCAUUUUGCCCCCAAAAGCAUUCUCUCUUAACUCUUUCGCUGAAUACUCUUCCGCCGAAUACUCUGCAAAUAUCAUCUCUCACCUAUUAAUCUUCUCCGCCGAAUCCACUCAUGCCGUCGAACCUACUCACACCGUCAAACCCAUCCACGCUCUCUUCUCCGUUCAUCGGCCACGGUUCAUCGAUUCAGAGUUGAAGUCUUUUCCGGAUUCUUCAAAGAAAUAUAUUGGCAAUCAUGAGAUUAAAGAAAGGGGCUAAGGUGGAAGUGUUAAGCAAAGAUGAGGUGCCUUCUGGCUCCUGGCUAUGUGCAGAGAUUAUUCGUGGUAAGGGCCACCAUUACACUGUUAAGUAUGAGGUGUUUGAAGGUGCUACUGGUGAGGCAAUCGUGGGGAGAGUUUCGAGGAAAUCUGUAAGACCGUGUUCGCCUGCAUUUGAACUCGUGGAGAACUGGACUCCAGGUGAAAUUGUAGAAGUGUAUUAGAAUUUUUCUUGGAAGAUGGCUACUGUUUUGAAGGUUUUGGGGAAAAAGUGCAUUUCUGUUAGGCUAGUUGGAUCUUCAUUGGAAUUCCAAGUUAGCAAAUUUUGAGAUGUGGAGCCACUGUUUCAGUUGUUGCACUUAGCAGGAAGGGUGGUUUGUUGUCAGAGCUUUCUAGAAGACGGAUCAAGGUGUUGGAUGAUAAAGCAGAGCUCAGCUUCAAAACUGCAAUGAAGGAUGAUCUCGUAAUUGCUGGUUCAGCUGUAUGUGUAUCAUGGAUUGAAAGUUAGUAGUGAAAAUCGAGAAAGAGCGUUAAAUCCUCAACAUACUUAUAAUUUGUAUAUGAGUUAAUGGGUUGUAUGAGGGGAAUAGGGAAGAAAAAUGGUGAUUUCUGAGUUUUAACGCAGUGUAGGUCGACCAACACAGAAGCAUGAGUCGACCUGAGCAACCCAAAAGGUUCUUGAUCAUUCAUGUAGCUGGUGGAUGCCUUAGAUCAAUAUUUGGAUUAUAUUCUUUCUUUUCUCUAUUAAUAUAUUAUAUUUACAAGAUUAUUCUUUAUCUUGUUAUUAACUUGAUUUUGCUGGACACUAUUUGUUUAAUGAAAGAAGUGUUUGUGAUGUGUUAUAGAGUUGGAUUUACAAUAAUGAAUGUUGAUAUAAUUUUUUAAUUAAUGCAGAAAGUUAGUAGUGAAAAUCGAGAAAGAGCGUUAAAUCCUCAACAUACUUAUAAUUUGUAUAUGAGUUAAUGGGUUGUAUGAGGGGAAUAGGGAAGAAAAAUGGUGAUUUCUGAGUUUUAACGCAGUGUAGGUCGACCAACACAGAAGCAUGAGUCGACCUGAGCAACCCAAAAGGCAGGAAAUCCAUUUUCCUUCAGCAUGCGUUGACCUUUGAAUUCUGUGCGUCGACCUGUCGAAUUCCUUGUGUCGACUCAUGAGUCGACCUGAGCUAACCUGAGAGGGGUAGAAAACAUCCAUGCGUCGACCUAUGAAUCCCUUGCGUCAACCUGAAGAUUUCCAUUUUUGACAGAUUUUGUAAAGACCGUAACUUUUGAUCCAUAACUUCGUUUUAUGUGUCGUUCGAAGCGUUAGGAAGCUAUUGUGAUGGUCUAUAUGAUGG